AUGGAGUUUUCUACUGUCAACCUCCAAUCUGAGUCACUAGGGAGUAAAAGAUUUGUCCUUGUCGAGGCAGAAAAAGGAAUGCUCGGGAUGCUCACUACACGUAACGGCUAUGAUAAGGACAUCAAAGAUCGCCGAAUUUGGCUCGCGUAUUCCAUUCUGACAAAUAACCAAUGGCAUGUGGAGAAGGUCAUCCGGUUACUGGUAAAGGAUGUGCAUCUAGUUGGUGCAGCCGGGGGAUUCCUGCUCAUGUACACGGUGUACUUAAAAUCUUCACGAGACAAGCUGGAGUUUCGAUACUUUUCGGUGGACCUUAAGACUUUCCAGGUCGAGUUGUUCGCUGCACUUUGUAAGCACUUACCUGGAGGACUGUACGAUGAUUUCCCAAACCCACCUGGACGACCAUACGCUGGUUUCCCACCAUCACUGUGUGCGCCAAAUAUAUGA
RNAcentral lists this ribosomal RNA (444 nucleotides) under Triticum aestivum (bread wheat). RNAcentral describes it as "partial small subunit ribosomal RNA". Lineage: Eukaryota; Viridiplantae; Streptophyta; Magnoliopsida; Poales; Poaceae. The record is from RNAcentral.